Molecule: transfer RNA, 78 nt
Filed under: Hadesarchaea archaeon
Lineage: Archaea; Methanobacteriati; Hadarchaeota (SeqCode); Hadarchaeia (SeqCode)
Also listed under: 2 other names
Description: tRNA-Arg
Rfam family: tRNA
About the family: Transfer RNA (tRNA) molecules are approximately 80 nucleotides in length. Their secondary structure includes four short double-helical elements and three loops (D, anti-codon, and T loops).
Source: RNAcentral
GGGCCCGUGGCCUAGCCAGGAUAGGGCGGCAGCCUUCGGAGCUGCAAAUCGGGGGUUCGAAUCCCUCCGGGCCCGCCA